Molecule: RNase P RNA, 254 nt
Filed under: Ketobacter sp.
Lineage: Bacteria; Pseudomonadati; Pseudomonadota; Gammaproteobacteria; Pseudomonadales; Ketobacteraceae
Description: partial RNase P RNA component class A
Rfam family: Bacterial RNase P class A
About the family: Ribonuclease P (RNase P) is a ubiquitous endoribonuclease, found in archaea, bacteria and eukarya as well as chloroplasts and mitochondria. Its best characterised activity is the generation of mature 5'-ends of tRNAs by cleaving the 5'-leader elements of precursor-tRNAs.
Source: RNAcentral
GAAGUCAGCCAGACAGUCGCUCUUCCUGGUGGGGUAACCCGCAAAGGGAGGGAGGAAAGUCCGGGCUCCACAGGGUAAGGUGCCAGGUAACGCCUGGGCGGCGCGAGCCGACGGAAAGUGCAGCAGAAAGUAUACCGCCUAAGCCAGCAUGCUGGCCGGUAAGGGUGAAAUGGUGCGGUAAGAGCGCACCGCGCGACUGGUAACAGUUCGUGGCGAUGGAAAACCCCACCUGGAGCAAGACCAAAUAGGUAUCC